UGGGGAAUAUUGGACAAUGGGCGAAAGCCUGAUCCAGCAAUGCCGCGUGUGUGAAGAAGGUCUUCGGAUUGUAAAGCACUUUCGACGGGGACGAUGAUGACGGUACCCGUAGAAGAAGCCCCGGCUAACUUCGUGCCAG
RNAcentral lists this ribosomal RNA (139 nucleotides) under uncultured bacterium. RNAcentral describes it as "partial 16S ribosomal RNA". It matches the Rfam family "Bacterial small subunit ribosomal RNA", at positions 355 to 511 of the family's 1533-position model. The record is from RNAcentral.